UACGUAGGUGGCAAGCGUUAUCCGGAAUUACUGGGCGUAAAGCGCACGCAGGCGGUCUUUUAAGUUUGACGUGAAAGCUCCCGGCUUAACUGGGAGAGGUCGUUGAAUACUGGAAGACUUGAGGAAAUGAGAGGGGUGUAGAAUUCCUGGUGUAGUGGUGGAAUGCGUAGAUAUCAGGAGGAAUACCAGUGGCGAAAGCGGCACCCUAGCAUUUUUUCUGACGCUCAUGUGCGAAAGCGUGGGAGCGAACGGG
This 253-nucleotide ribosomal RNA is filed under the name uncultured bacterium. RNAcentral describes it as "partial 16S ribosomal RNA". It matches the Rfam family "Bacterial small subunit ribosomal RNA", at positions 524 to 776 of the family's 1533-position model. The record is from RNAcentral.